RNAcentral lists this ribosomal RNA (253 nucleotides) under uncultured bacterium. Its description in RNAcentral is "partial 16S ribosomal RNA". It matches the Rfam family "Bacterial small subunit ribosomal RNA", at positions 524 to 776 of the family's 1533-position model. The record is from RNAcentral.
UACGUAGGGGGCGAGCGUUGUCCGGAGUUACUGGGCGUAAAGAGCUUGUAGGCGGUUUGUCGCGUCUGCUGUGAAAUUUCGGGGCUCAACCCCGAACUUGCAGUGGGUACGGGCAGACUAGAGUGUGGUAGGGGAGACUGGAAUUCCUGGUGUAGCGGUGAAAUGCGCAGAUAUCAGGAGGAACACCGAUGGCGAAGGCAGGUCUCUGGGCCAUAACUGACGCUGAGAAGCGAAAGCAUGGGGAGCGAACAGG